This 119-nucleotide small RNA is filed under the name Arabidopsis thaliana (thale cress). RNAcentral's name for it is "ATSL184620". The record is from RNAcentral. Lineage: Eukaryota; Viridiplantae; Streptophyta; Magnoliopsida; Brassicales; Brassicaceae.
AAUAAAUUUUAAUCAAUUGGUCCGUAGUUCAAGCUAGUUGAUCCGAUGACCCAAAAGAUAAUUCGGUUCAUUAUCUGGGUCGGGUUUAAAAACAUUGCUGCUCGCUUAACAUCUCACAC